Molecule: ribosomal RNA, 265 nt
Filed under: uncultured bacterium
Lineage: Bacteria
Description: partial 16S ribosomal RNA
Rfam family: Bacterial small subunit ribosomal RNA
Source: RNAcentral
GUCCACGCUGUAAACGAUGAGUGCUAGGUGUCACGGGCUUUGACCCUCGUGGUGCCGAAGCUAACGCGUUAAGCACUCCGCCUGGGGAGUACGGCCGCAAGGCUAAAACUCAAAGGAAUUGACGGGGCCCGCACAAGCGGUGGAGCAUGUGGUUCAAUUCGACGCAACGCGCAAAACCUUACCUGGGCUAGAAAUGACAGGAACCCGGUCGAAAGAUCGGGGUGCUCUUCGGAGAAUCUGUUGUUAGGUGCUGCAUGGCUGUCGU